AAAUAUUUAUAAGAUAAAAAAGAAUACCUUGAUACUUAAAGGCGAAGAAAGACGUUUUAAAUUACGAAAUACUUUAAUUAGCUGUACGCAAUAAAUUAAAGAUCUCUGAAUAGGAGGAAUAUACCUUAUAAUUUAAUAAAAAAAANNNNNNNNNNNNNNNNNNNNNNNNNNNNNNNNNNNNNNNNNNNNNNNNNNNNNNNNNNNNNNNNNNNNNNNNNNNNNNNNNNNNNNNNNNNNNNNNNNNNAAAAAAAAGAAAACUUAGAGAACUGAACCAUCUUAGUAUCUAAAGGAAAAAAAAUAACAAAAAUUCCCUAAGUAGUGGCGAGCGAAAUGGGAUAAAUAUAUUUUUUUAAUAUAUUUAUUUGAAAAUAAAUAAGUAAAUUAGAUAAUAAUUCUGAUUGAAGAAGCAAGAACCUCCUUGCAAAAUAAAAUACUUUAAAGUAAUCAAUAGUGAACUAGUACCGUAAGGGAAAGGUGAAAAGAUCCCCGGAAGGGAAGUGAAAAGAACAUGAAAUUUUUUAUCUUACAAUCUAUAGAAGGAUUAAAGAAUCUAACUAUAUGCCUGUUGAAGAAGGAGCUGACAAGUCUUAAUUAUUUUAAGCAUUUGGUUAAUUUUAUUUAAUUGAAGCCCAGAGUUAACGCGAGUUAUUUAUAUUAUUAUAAUAACAAUUGCUUAUAAUUAAGAACCCGAACCCGGAUGAAUUAAUCUUGUCCAGAAUGAAAUAUAGAUAAGUCUAUAUAGAGGUUCGAACUGGUUGAUAUUGCAAAAUCAUCAGAAGAGAUGAGAUUAGCGGUGAAAUGCUUAUCGAAUUCGGAGCUAGCUGGUUCUCCUCGAAAUGCGUUGAGGCGCAGCUAUUACUUAAUAUAUAAUUAAGGUGGUAAAGCACUAUAUCUAAUAUUUAUUAGAUAAAUAUAAUAAAAAUUAGAUAUAAACUAAUAAUACCUAUUAUAUUAAAUAGUAAUAAGUGAGACUAUUGGGGAAAAUCUCAAUAGUCUAAAAGGAAACAACCUACAUCAUAAGUUAAGGUUUUUAAAAAAGUAUUAAAAAUAAAAAGAAAUUUAAUUUUAUUUAUAUUUAGGAGGUUAGCUUAGAAGCAGCUAUCCUUUAAAGAGUGCGUAAUAGCUCGCUAAAUUAGAAAUUAUGUACUGAAAAUGGGAAAAAAAAAACUUUACCGAAACUAUGAGAUUUAUAUUUAAAUCGAUAGAGGAGCGUUCUAUAUUUAAGAAGUAAAAAUGUAAAUUUUUAUGGAAAAAAUAGAAGUGAAAAUGUCAGCUUAAGUAGCAUAAAUAUUAGUAAAAAUCUAAUACUCCGAAAGCUUAAAAGUUUUCUACGAAAGGAUAUACCACGUAGAUAAAGUCGGGGCCUAAAAUUAGAUUAAAUAUGUAAUUGAUGGGUAAUAAGGUUAAAUUUCCUUUACUGUAAAUAUAUAUAACAAAUAGUGACCUAUAAUUUUUAUUAUAUUUUUAUAAUAUAGUUUUUAAUAUAUUAAAAAUAUAUAGCUAGAAAAAUGUAUAUGUUAAAAUAUAUUAUCACCCGUACUAAAACUGACACAAGUAAGCAAGUAUAAAUAUACUAAGGAGUACGAAAUAACUUUUUCUAAGGAACUCGGCAAAAUAAUCCUGUAACUUCGGAAAAAAGGAUGUCCAAAGGACUGCAAUAAAGAGAUCCAAGCGACUGUUUAUCAAAAACACAAGUCUCCGCUAAGUGUAAUUACAAUGUAAGGGGGCUGACACCUGCCCAGUGCUGGUAAGUUAAAAAAGAUAUUUAUAAUUAAAAUAUUUUUAUAAGCUCCAGUAAACGGCGGCUGUAACUAUAACGGUCCAAAGGUAGCGAAAUUCCUUGUCGGGUAAGUUCCGACCUGCACGAAAGGUGUAACGACUUGGAUGCUGUCUUGGAAAAAGAUUCGGCGAAAUAGAAAUGUCUGUGAAGAUACGGACUAUUUACACCUGGACAGAAAGACCCUAUGAAGCUUUACUAUAUUUUGAAAUUAAAAAUAAAAUAUAUUUGUGUAGAAUAAGUGGGAAAUAAUUAUUUUGUUUAUCUUGAAAUACCACUCUUAUUUAUUUUAUUUUUUUAUUAUAAUAUUGUUAACCAAUUAUAAAAAAAUUUUAAAAAGGUAGUUUGACUGGGGCGGUAGCCUCCUAAAAGGCAACGGAGGUGUACAAAGGUCUUUUUUUAAUUUAAAUAUUUAUUUUAAAAUUAAAUCUAUAAAGGGAUAAAAAGGCUUGAUUGUAAGAGUUACUACUCGAGCAAGGACGAAAGUCGGUCUUAAUGAUCCGAUAGUUCUUUGUGGAAAGGCUGUCGCUUAACGAAUAAAAGUUACUCUAGGGAUAACAGGCUGAUCUCCCCCGAAAGUUCCUAUUGACGGGGAGGGUUGGCACCUCGAUGUCGGCUCGUCGCAUCCUGAGGCUGAAGUAGGUCUCAAGGGUUGGUCUGUUCGCCCAUUAAAGCGGCACGUGAGCUGGGUUCAGAACGUCGUGAGACAGUUCGGUCCAUAUCCGGUGUAUACAUAAGAACAUUGAAGAGUUUUUCUUUUAGUACGAGAGGACCAAAGAGAUUAAACCUAUGGUGUAUUAGUUAUUUUACUAAAAAUAAUCGCUAAGUAGCCAAGUUUAAAUAAAUAUUAUUCACUGAAAACAUAUAAGUGAUAAAAAUACUUUAAGAUAAAUGUUCUUAUCUAAAUAAAUAGAAUAAGAAAACAAAAAGAUGAUUUGAUAAAAAGAAAAAGUGUAUACAAUUAGUAAUAAUUUUAGCAUUUUUUAACUAAAAGUUCGAAAAAAAUAUAUUU
Molecule: non-coding RNA, 2790 nt
Organism: Eimeria necatrix
Lineage: Eukaryota; Apicomplexa; Conoidasida; Eucoccidiorida; Eimeriidae
Source: Rfam